CCUCAGGUGGGCGGCGCUGGUUCCUGUCUAUGACAGGCGAAGAGGGAAUGCGCUACCGCUUUGCGACCAAAAUCGCAGCCGAAACGCAGCCGCCCCCGCGACCGUGACCGGAGAGGCCCCGUUGCCACUGGUAUCCAUAUACCGGGAAGGAUCGGGCCAGCCGAGGAACCCCUCGGGCUCCGCAAGCCGGGAGACCUGCCAGCGCAAGAAAUGUACG
Molecule: non-coding RNA, 217 nt
Filed under: Donghicola sp. KarMa
Lineage: Bacteria; Pseudomonadati; Pseudomonadota; Alphaproteobacteria; Rhodobacterales; Roseobacteraceae
Also listed under: 1 other name
Source: RNAcentral